ACUCGGAUAGCUCAGUUAGUAGAGCAUUCCCCUGAUACGGGAACGGUCGCAGGUGCAAGUCCUGCUCCGAGUA
RNAcentral lists this transfer RNA (73 nucleotides) under Ignavibacteria bacterium. Its description in RNAcentral is "tRNA-Ile". It matches the Rfam family "tRNA". From Rfam's summary of the family: Transfer RNA (tRNA) molecules are approximately 80 nucleotides in length. The record is from RNAcentral. Lineage: Bacteria; Pseudomonadati; Ignavibacteriota; Ignavibacteria. RNAcentral also lists the same sequence under 1 other name.